AUACGGAGGAUCCGAGCGUUAUCCGGAUUUAUUGGGUUUAAAGGGUGCGCAGGCGGGAGAUUAAGUCGGCGGUGAAAUUUUGCAGCUCAACUUUAAAAGUGCCUUCGAAACUGGUUUCCUUGAGUGUAGAUGAAGUAGGCGGAAUUUGUGGUGUAGCGGUGAAAUGCAUAGAUAUCACGAGGAACUCCGAUUGCGCAGGCAGCUUACUAAACUACUACUGACGCUCAGGCACGAAGGCGUGGGGAUCAAACAGGAUUAGAUACCCUGGUAGUCCACGCAGUAAACGAUGAUUACUAGCUGUUUGCGAUACAAUGUAAGCGGCUGAGCGAAAGCGUUAAGUAAUCCACCUGGGGAGUACGUUCGCAAGAAUGAAACUCAAAUGAAUUGACGGGG
RNAcentral lists this ribosomal RNA (393 nucleotides) under uncultured bacterium. Its description in RNAcentral is "partial 16S ribosomal RNA". It matches the Rfam family "Bacterial small subunit ribosomal RNA", at positions 523 to 918 of the family's 1533-position model. The record is from RNAcentral.